This 77-nucleotide transfer RNA is filed under the name Acidobacteriota bacterium. Its description in RNAcentral is "Acidobacteria bacterium (activated sludge metagenome) tRNA-Thr". It matches the Rfam family "tRNA". From Rfam's summary of the family: Transfer RNA (tRNA) molecules are approximately 80 nucleotides in length. Their secondary structure includes four short double-helical elements and three loops (D, anti-codon, and T loops). Further hydrogen bonds mediate the characteristic L-shaped molecular structure. tRNAs have two regions of fundamental functional importance: the anti-codon, which is responsible for specific mRNA codon recognition, and the 3' end, to which the tRNAs corresponding amino acid is attached (by aminoacyl-tRNA synthetases). tRNAs cope with the degeneracy of the genetic code in two manners: having more than one tRNA (with a specific anti-codon) for a particular amino acid; and 'wobble' base-pairing, i.e. permitting non-standard base-pairing at the 3rd anti-codon position. Lineage: Bacteria; Pseudomonadati; Acidobacteriota. The record is from RNAcentral. RNAcentral also lists the same sequence under 1 other name.
GCUGCCGUAGCUCAAGGGAUCAGAGCAGCCGUCUCGUAAGCGGCAGGUUGUGGGUUCAAUUCCCACCGGCAGCCCCA